AGAGUUUGAUCCUGGCUCAGGAUGAACGCUGGCGGCGUGCUUAACACAUGCAAGUCGAACGAUGAAGCCGGAGCUUGCUCUGGUGGAUUAGUGGCGAACGGGUGAGUAACACGUGAGUAACCUGCCCUUGACUCUGGGAUAAGCGUUGGAAACGACGUCUAAUACCGGAUACGACGCGCGAAGGCAUCUUCUGCGCGUGGAAAGAAUUUCGGUCAAGGAUGGACUCGCGGCCUAUCAGCUAGUUGGUGAGGUAACGGCCCACCAAGGCGACGACGGGUAGCCGGCCUGAGAGGGUGACCGGCCACACUGGGACUGAGACACGGCCCAGACUCCUACGGGAGGCAGCAGUGGGGAAUAUUGCACAAUGGGCGCAAGCCUGAUGCAGCAACGCCGCGUGAGGGACGACGGCCUUCGGGUUGUAAACCUCUUUUAGUAGGGAAGAAGCGAAAGUGACGGUACCUGCAGAAAAAGCACCGGCUAACUACGUGCCAGCAGCCGCGGUAAUAC
This 507-nucleotide ribosomal RNA is filed under the name uncultured Leifsonia sp. RNAcentral describes it as "bacterial SSU rRNA". It matches the Rfam family "Bacterial small subunit ribosomal RNA", at positions 8 to 526 of the family's 1533-position model. The record is from RNAcentral. Lineage: Bacteria; Bacillati; Actinomycetota; Actinomycetes; Micrococcales; Microbacteriaceae.